GUAGGUGGCAAGCGUUGUCCGGAAUUAUUGGGCGUAAAGCGCGCGCAGGCGGUUCUUUAAGUCUGAUGUGAAAGCCCACGGCUCAACCGUGGAGGGUCAUUGGAAACUGGAGAACUUGAGUACAGAAGAGGAAAGCGGAAUUCCACGUGUAGCGGUGAAAUGCGUAGAGAUGUGGAGGAACACCAGUGGCGAAGGCGGCUUUCUGGUCUGUAACCGACGCUGAGGCGCGAAAGCGUGGGGAGCAAACAGGGAUUAGAUACCCUGGUAGUCCACGCCGUAAACGAUGAGUGCUAAGUGUUAGGGGGUUUCCCGCCCCUUAGUGCUGCAGCUAACGCAUUAAGCACUCCGCCUGGGGGAUACGGCCGCAAGGCUG
This 373-nucleotide ribosomal RNA is filed under the name uncultured organism. Its description in RNAcentral is "partial 16S ribosomal RNA". It matches the Rfam family "Bacterial small subunit ribosomal RNA", at positions 527 to 896 of the family's 1533-position model. The record is from RNAcentral.